Molecule: ribosomal RNA, 1587 nt
Filed under: Alkalihalobacillus alcalophilus ATCC 27647 = CGMCC 1.3604
Lineage: Bacteria; Bacillati; Bacillota; Bacilli; Caryophanales; Bacillaceae
Description: Bacillus alcalophilus ATCC 27647 = CGMCC 1.3604 partial 23S ribosomal RNA
Rfam family: Bacterial large subunit ribosomal RNA
Source: RNAcentral
AUGGUUAAGUUAGAAAGGGCGCACGGUGAAUGCCUUGGCACUAGGAGCCGAAGAAGGACGCGACGAACGGCGAAACGCCUCGGGGAGCUGUAAGUAAGCUUUGAACCGGGGAUAUCCGAAUGGGGGAACCCACCAUCUUUAAUAGGAUGGUAUCCAUAUCUGAAUACAUAGGGUAUGAGAAGGCAGACCUGGGGAACUGAAACAUCUAAGUACCCAGAGGAAGAGAAAGCAAAUGCGAUUUCCUGAGUAGCGGCGAGCGAAACGGAAACAGCCCAAACCAAGAGGCUUGCCUCUUGGGGUUGUAGGACACUCUAUACGGAGUCAAAAAGAAACGGAGUAGGUGAAGCGACCUGGAAAGGUCCGUCAAAGAGGGUAACAACCCCGUAGCCGAAACUUCGUUUCCUCCAGAGUGGAUCCUGAGUACGGCGGGACACGUGAAACCCCGUCGGAAUCCGGGAGGACCAUCUCCCAAGGCUAAAUACUCCCUAGUGACCGAUAGUGAACCAGUACCGUGAGGGAAAGGUGAAAAGCACCCCGGAAGGGGAGUGAAAGAGAUCCUGAAACCGUGUGCCUACAACUAGUUGGAGCCCGUUAAUGGGUGACAGCGUGCCUUUUGUAGAAUGAACCGGCGAGUUACGAUGUCGUGCAAGGUUAAGCUGAUGAAGCGGAGCCGUAGCGAAAGCGAGUCUGAAUAGGGCGAAUGAGUACGCCGUCGUAGACCCGAAACCGUGUGAUCUACCCAUGUCCAGGGUGAAGUUCAGGUAACACUGAAUGGAGGCCCGAACCCACGCAUGUUGAAAAAUGCGGGGAUGAGGUGUGGGUAGGGGUGAAAUGCCAAUCGAACUCGGAAAUAGCUGGUUCUCCCCGAAAUAGCUUUAGGGCUAGCCUCGAGGUGAGAGUAUUGGAGGUAGAGCACUGAUUGGACUAGGGGUCCCCACAGGAUUACCGAAUUCAGUCAAACUCCGAAUGCCAAUUACUUAUCCUCGGGAGUCAGACUGCGAGUGCUAAGAUCCGUAGUCAAGAGGGAAACAGCCCAGACCAUCAGCUAAGGUCCCCAAGUAUACGUUAAGUGGAAAAGGAUGUGGAGUUGCUUAGACAACCAGGAUGUUGGCUUAGAAGCAGCCACCAUUUAAAGAGUGCGUAAUAGCUCACUGGUCGAGUGACUCUGCGCCGAAAAUGUACCGGGGCUAAACGUAUCACCGAAGCUAUGGAUUGACACCUUCAGGUGUCAGUGGUAGGGGAGCGUUCUAAAUGCAGCGAAGUCAGAUCGUGAGGACUGGUGGAGCGUUUAGAAGUGAGAAUGCCGGUAUGAGUAGCGAAAAGAGGGGUGAGAAUCCCCUCCGUCGAAAGCCCAAGGUUUCCUGAGGAAGGCUCGUCCGCUCAGGGUUAGUCGGGACCUAAGCCGAGGCUGAAAAGCGUAGGCGAUGGACAACAGGUUGAAAUUCCUGUACCACCUCCUCACCGUUUGAGUAAUGGGGGGACGCAGAAAGAUAGGGUAAGCGCACUGAUGGAUAUGUGCGUCCAAGCAGUUAGGCUGAGAAGUAGGCAAAUCCGCUUCUCAUAAAGGCUGAGCUGUGAUGGCGAGGG